AUAGAUAAAGACGUCAUUUUGUUUCUAUCUUAAGAAGUUAAUCCCCAAUUCAAUCAAAAUAUUGUUUUCUCUCUCUCUCUCCAUAAAACAAAUAGUAUUUUUGAUCUAACUUCUCAAGCAGAAUAGAACAAAACUUAAUUGUCUUUGUUUGGAUAUGAUAACAACUGAUUGUAUCAGUUGAAAAAACUCGGAGCAUUCCGAGUUUUUU
Molecule: small RNA, 208 nt
Filed under: Streptococcus uberis 0140J
Lineage: Bacteria; Bacillati; Bacillota; Bacilli; Lactobacillales; Streptococcaceae
Description: FasX small RNA
Rfam family: FasX small RNA
Source: Rfam by way of RNAcentral